Molecule: ribosomal RNA, 407 nt
Filed under: uncultured bacterium
Lineage: Bacteria
Description: partial 16S ribosomal RNA
Rfam family: Bacterial small subunit ribosomal RNA
Source: RNAcentral
GACGAACGCUGGCGGCGUGCCUAAUACAUGCAAGUAGAACGCAGUUGCGAACGGGUGAGUUACGCGUAGGUAACUGGCUAGUAGCCGGGGAUAACUAUUGGAAACGAUAGCUAAUACCGCAUACUACCAGAUGGACCUUCGUUGGAUUACCUAGUGGGUGAGGUAAAGGGUAACCAAGUCAAAGAUACAUAACCGACCUGGGGGGGGGGACGGCCACACUGGGACUGAGACACGGGCCAGACUCCUACGGGAGGGAGCAGUAGGGGAACUUCGUAAAUGGGGGGAACCCUUACUGAGCAAAGCCGCGGUAGUGAAGGAGGUUUUCGGGUCGUAAAGCUAUUUUAUUAAGGAAGCGGUACUAAACCAGAAAGCGACGGCUAACUACGUGCCAGCAGCCGCGGUAAUUC